Molecule: ribosomal RNA, 719 nt
Filed under: uncultured Glomus
Lineage: Eukaryota; Fungi; Glomeromycota; Glomeromycetes; Glomerales; Glomeraceae
Description: eukaryotic LSU rRNA
Rfam family: Eukaryotic large subunit ribosomal RNA
Source: RNAcentral
AAAGAAAAUAACAAUGAUUCCCCUAGUAACUGCGAGUGAAGAGGGACAAGCUCAAAUUUUAAAUCUGUUAGGUUUACCUAACCGAGUUGUAAUUUGAAGAGGCGUUUUCUGUGUUUCUGAUCAGCCCAAGUCCUUUGGGAUAGGGCAUCAUGGAGGGUGAGAAUCCCGUUCGGUUGAUCAGAUUCGCUUUACGAUACGUCAUCUAAGAGUCAAGUUGUUUGGGAUUGCAGCUUAAAAUGGGAGGUAAAUUUCUCCUAAGGCUAAAUAACGGCGAGAGACCGAUAGCGAACAAGUACCGUGAGGGAAAGAUGAAAAGAACUUUGAAAAGAGAGCUAAACAGUACGUGAAAUUGUUGAAAGGGAAACGAUUGAAGCCAGUCGUACCUUCGGGUAAUCAGCCUUUCGAGUGCGAUUCUGUGGAGUGUGAGGAGUUAAACGCCUUCAUGCCUGCAUAUUCGUGCACUUUGGGUGUACUUGCCCGUGUGGUAGGUUAACAUCAAUUUCGGAUGUCAUAAAAUGGCUGGAGGAAUGUAGCUUCGGUCUCGUAUUGAAGUGUUAUAGCCUCUGGUAGAUGUGAUGACCGGGAUUGAGGAUUGCAACGAAUACCUUUUGGGCUAUCCGCCUGAUCUCUGAAAGUUGCUCUGGUGCCGAAAGCGUGCUUACGGCUAUCAAAGUUGACGUUCAAAAGGUUAGAACGGGUUAAAUUCGUUAAGGAUGUUG